Molecule: long non-coding RNA, 565 nt
Organism: Felis catus (domestic cat)
Lineage: Eukaryota; Metazoa; Chordata; Mammalia; Carnivora; Felidae
Exons: 2
Source: RefSeq, a predicted model, not a curated record
AGAGCAAUGGGUAAUCCAUCAACCGGUUAUUUGUCAGAUGGAAGGAAAGGGGAACGCAGGACAGAGGAAGUUUCUGGAGCAGCAGUUCUCAAAGAGUGAUAGCUGGACCAGCAGCAUCGGCAUCACCUAAGAACUCAUUAGAAGGGCACCUUUUGGGGCCUUCGGCUGUCCCAGGCCUUCUGAGCCAAUAAUUACAUCACAAACACUGAGGCUGGAACCAGGCAACCUAUAUAUUAACAAAUCCUGCAAGUGAUUCCGGUGGAGCUCAAGUUCAAGAACCAGCCAUCCAGAAUAACCUCCAGGAUUUUGCCUCCGAUUCCUGGGAGGAAGCCAGCAGAAGCAUGGUUCUCUGAGAAGACAACAGAGGAUGUUCCGAUCUCCCGCUCCUGGAGGAGUGCCCUGUGGUCUUGGUGGAGUCACUUACCAGCCUGUGCCUCAGUUGCCUCAUCUGUGGACUGGAGAUAAUGUGAUAAUAGAGCUCACCGAUUGUUGUGGAGAUUAAGUGCUAUAAUAUAUGUGAAAUGCUUAGAACGGUGCCUUGUGCACGAUAAAGCCUAUGUAAGUA